RNAcentral lists this ribosomal RNA (344 nucleotides) under uncultured bacterium. RNAcentral describes it as "bacterial SSU rRNA". It matches the Rfam family "Bacterial small subunit ribosomal RNA", at positions 1 to 334 of the family's 1533-position model. The record is from RNAcentral.
CGCUCGACAUCAGAGUUUGAUCCUGGCUCAGGACGAACGCUGGCGGCGUGCCUAACACAUGCAAGUCGAGCGGGGAUUGUGGAGAGCUUGCUCAAAACAAUUCUAGCGGCGGACGGGUGAGUAACGGGUGAGCAACCUGCCUUUUAGUGGGGAAUAACGGCUGGAAACGGUCGCUAAUACCGCAUAAUGUAUUGAUAUGGCAUCAUAUUGAUACCAAAGAUUUAUCGCUAAAAGAUGGGCUCGCGUCCGAUUAGCUAGUUGGUGGGGUAAAGGCUCACCAAGGCGACGAUCGGUAGCCGGACUGAGAGGUUGAACGGCCACAUUGGGACUGAGACACGGCCCAG